Molecule: ribosomal RNA, 388 nt
Filed under: Ancyromonas sp.
Lineage: Eukaryota; Ancyromonadida; Ancyromonadidae
Description: partial small subunit ribosomal RNA
Rfam family: Eukaryotic small subunit ribosomal RNA
Source: RNAcentral
AUUCCAGCUCCAAUAGCGUAUAUUAAAGUUGUUGCAGUUAAAAAGCUCGUAGUUGGAUUUCGGGCGCGUGCGCACGGUCCGCCGAAAGGUGUGCACUGUAGAUGUGCGCGUCCUCUUUCCGUAGGUCGCGUGUGCCCUUAACUGGGUGGGCGCGGAAUGCGGAUCAUUUACUUUGAAUAAAUUAGAGUGUUCAAAGCAGGCUUUCGCUUGGAUACAUUAGCAUGGAAUAAUGGAAUAGGACUUUGGUUCUAUUUUGUUGGUUUCUAGAACCGGGGUAAUGAUUAAUAGGGAUAGUUGGGGGCAUUAAUAUUUAAUUGUCAGAGGUGAAAUUCUUGGAUUUAUGAAAGAUUAACUUCUGCGAAAGCAUUUGCCAAGGAUGUUUUCAUCG